Molecule: long non-coding RNA, 720 nt
Organism: Balaenoptera musculus (blue whale)
Lineage: Eukaryota; Metazoa; Chordata; Mammalia; Artiodactyla; Balaenopteridae
Exons: 4
Source: RefSeq, a predicted model, not a curated record
AGAGGCGCGGGGUCGCCCCGCGCGCGUUCCCUGCGGCCGCGCCGCGGCAGCGCCCGGGGCCCGCCGGCCUCUCUAGCCACCGUCGCCUCGAUGGUGGGCAGCCGCGCGCAGCCUCCAGUGCCAGGCGGGGGCGCCGGUUCCGCAAUCCGCUGCGUGCGGGGAUGGGACUGCUUCGCUGGCAAGACUGCGCCGAGAUCUUCGGUUGCUUGAGCCUCAGGGAUUGCCAUCUGGUGGGGACGGUCACCGAAGGACACGGGGUCCCCUCACGGGCUCUGGUGCUCCGCACCCGGUGGAGCGGCAUUGCUUUUUCCCCCGCCCCCUCACCUGGCCUCAGGUUCGCCAAACGUUUUCAUUUUGUAGCGUCUUUUCGACAGGCAUCCCGGAGAGGCUUAAUGCUGUUGCCCCAGUGUCCUUCCUUCUAGAGGGAAGGAAAAGAAGAAGAUAAGCCAUUCUGCCUGAUAAACUGAGGCGAAUAAUGGAGAGCACAGGAGGCUUCACAACACAGUAUACUUGUAUGCAUGCUGCUAAAGGUGUCCUACUUCCUCUGAGAGAAUGUCCAUAUAAUGGCUGGAGCUCCAGCAGCCGUCUUGGACCAUAAGGUAGAAGCCACAUGCUGAUAGUGGAGCAGAAAGAGAUGCUGUGGAGCUAUUAUACCAUUUCAGGACUAUCUUCCUCCAGACUUUUUCAUAUGAGAGGGAAAUAAACUUUAACCUUGUUUAA